UGUUUCGGCAUGCGGUGGCUGGGCAUGCGGGCUACGUGACCCAGCCACACACAGACACACACACAGACACACACAGACACACACACAGA
Molecule: microRNA precursor, 89 nt
Filed under: Petromyzon marinus (sea lamprey)
Lineage: Eukaryota; Metazoa; Chordata; Hyperoartia; Petromyzontiformes; Petromyzontidae
Description: miRNA (ENSPMAG00000012749.1)
Source: RNAcentral